This 484-nucleotide ribosomal RNA is filed under the name uncultured bacterium. Its description in RNAcentral is "partial 16S ribosomal RNA". It matches the Rfam family "Bacterial small subunit ribosomal RNA", at positions 28 to 523 of the family's 1533-position model. The record is from RNAcentral.
GACGAACGCUGGCGGCGUGCUUAACACAUGCAAGUCGAACGAUGAACCCGGAGCUUGCUCCGGCGGAUUAGUAGCGAACGGGUGAGUAACACGUGAGUAACCUGCCCUUGACUCUGGGAUAACUGCUAGAAAUGGUAGCUAAUACCGGAUACGACCCUCGGAGGCAUCUUCAGGGGGUGGAAAGAAUUUCGGUCAAGGAUGGACUCGCGGCCUAUCAGCUAGUUGGUGAGGUAAUGGCUCACCAAGGCGACGACGGGUAGCCGGCCUGAGAGGGUGACCGGCCACACUGGGACUGAGACACGGCCCAGACUCCUACGGGAGGCAGCAGUGGGGAAUAUUGCACAAUGGGCGCAAGCCUGAUGCAGCAACGCCGCGUGAGGGAUGACGGCCUUCGGGUUGUAAACCUCUUUUAGUAGGGAAGAAGCGAAAGUGACGGUACCUGCAGAAAAAGCACCGGCUAACUACGUGCCAGCCGCCGCCGUAA